GAUGAACGCUGGCGGCGUGCCUAAUACACGCAAGUCGAGCGAACAGACGAGGAGCUUGCUCCUCUGACGUUAGCGGCGGACGGGUGAGUAACACGUGGAUAACCUACCUAUAAGACUGGGAUAACUUCGGGAAACCGGAGCUAAUACCGGAUAACAUGUUGAACCGCAUGGUUCAACAGCGAAAGACGGUCUUGCUGUCACUUAUAGAUGGAUCCGCGCCGCAUUAGCUAGUUGGUAAGGUAACGGCUUACCAAGGCAACGAUGCGUAGCCGACCUGAGAGGGUGAUCGGCCACACUGGAACUGAGACACGGUCCAGACUCCUACGGGAGGCAGCAGUAGGGAAUCUUCCGCAAUGGGCGAAAGCCUGACGGAGCAACGCCGCGUGAGUGAAGAAGGUCUUCGGAUCGUAAAACUCUGUUAUUAGGGAAGAACAAAUGUGUAAGUAACUAUGCACGUCUUGACGGUACCUAAUCAGAAAGCCACGGCUAACUACGUG
This 497-nucleotide ribosomal RNA is filed under the name uncultured bacterium. Its description in RNAcentral is "partial 16S ribosomal RNA". It matches the Rfam family "Bacterial small subunit ribosomal RNA", at positions 28 to 507 of the family's 1533-position model. The record is from RNAcentral.